Molecule: small nucleolar RNA, 135 nt
Organism: Spea bombifrons (plains spadefoot toad)
Lineage: Eukaryota; Metazoa; Chordata; Amphibia; Anura; Pelobatidae
Product: small nucleolar RNA SNORA22
Exons: 1
Source: RefSeq, a predicted model, not a curated record
CUGCACAGGGAACACCCAAGUGUGCUACGUAGCCCCCUUGGCUUUAAUCCUGUGCUAAAUUGAUGUCUGUCCUUUUUCCUCUGCGUCGAGAUGGGGUCUUAUCCUCCUCCACGUAUUCAGAAGAACAGUACAUUG